GGCUAAUUCGGGGCGUUGCUAAUACAUGGCGAGUCGAACGCACGGCGAAAGGGGCUUGCACCUUUCAAGUGAGUGGCGGACGGGAGAGUAACACGUGGGCAACCGGCGUCGAGGCUGCCGAUAACAUUUGGAAACAGAUGCUGUUACCUAAGAAAACUUAGUGUCGCAUGACAUGUAGUUAAAAGGCGCUUCGGCGGUUCUAGAGUGUUUCCCCGGGUAUUAACAGUUGGUGGGGUAAAGGCCUACCAAGACAAUGAUGCAUAGCCGAGUUGUAGACUGAUCGGCCACAUUGGGACUGAUCACGGCCCAAACUCCUACGGGAGGCUGCAGUAGGGAAUCUUCCACAAUGGGCGAAAGCCUGAUGGAGCAACGCCGCGUGUGUGAUGAAGGCUUUCGUGUCGUAAAGCACUGUUGUAUGGGAAGAACAGCUAGAAUAGGAAAUGAUUUUAGUUUGACGGUACCAUACCAGAAAUGGACGGCUAAAUACGUGCCAUCAGCCGCCGUAAUACGUAUGUCCCGAGCGUUAUCCGGAUUUAUUGGGCGUAAAGCCAGCGCAUACCGUUUAUUAAGUCUGAUGUGACUCCCCGGGGCUUCAUCUGGAAU
This 603-nucleotide ribosomal RNA is filed under the name Leuconostoc mesenteroides. RNAcentral describes it as "bacterial SSU rRNA". It matches the Rfam family "Bacterial small subunit ribosomal RNA", at positions 28 to 621 of the family's 1533-position model. Lineage: Bacteria; Bacillati; Bacillota; Bacilli; Lactobacillales; Lactobacillaceae. The record is from RNAcentral.